UCAAACUUGGUCAUUUAGAGGAAGUAAAAGUCGUAACAAGGUUUCCGUAGGUGAACCUGCGGAAGGAUCAUUACAAAUCCAUCACGUCUCUUUCCGAGACCACGUUGAAAUGUGGAUGGUGUGGGUGGUGGUGGUGGUGGAGGUGUGGUGUGGUGUGGUGUGGUGGGGCGGUACUUGUGUACCCCCCGCCUGCCUACCUACCUACCUGCGCGCCUACCUACUGCACCAUCACGUGUAUGGCGCACGUGGCAGCGCGGCCGGCUCACCGUCAUAUCGUCGUGUGUUGCCGUGCCGUCGCCGCCCGUGCAUCUACGCAAACGAGUUGAUAUUGUUGUCCAAGUGUAUUAUGUUUUCGAACAUCAGUACAACUUAUAACAAUGGAUCUCUAGGCUCUUGCAUCGAUGAAGAACGCAGC
Molecule: unclassified non-coding RNA, 415 nt
Filed under: uncultured fungus
Lineage: Eukaryota; Fungi
Description: partial contains small subunit ribosomal RNA, internal transcribed spacer 1, and 5.8S ribosomal RNA
Rfam family: Eukaryotic small subunit ribosomal RNA (bases 1-73)
Source: RNAcentral